UCCGGUUUGUCACCGGCGGUCUCCUUAGAGUGCCCAACUUAAUGGUGGCAACUAAGGACAAGGGUUGCGCUCGUUGCGGGACUUAACCCAACAUCUCACGACACGAGCUGACGACAGCCAUGCAGCACCUGUCUCCAGGUUCCCGAAGGCACUCCCGCAUUUCUGCAGGAUUCCUAGGAUGUCAAGACCAGGUAAGGUUCUUCGCGUUGCAUCGAAUUAAACCACAUGCUCCACCGCUUGUGCAGGCCCCCGUCAAUUUCUUUGAGUUUUAACCUUGCGGCCGUACUCCCCAGGCGGAUAACUUAAUGCGUUAGCUGCGUUACCAAGGAAAUUAAUCCCCGACAACUAGUAGACAUCGUUUAGGGCGUGGACUAC
RNAcentral lists this unclassified non-coding RNA (375 nucleotides) under uncultured Gammaproteobacteria bacterium. Its description in RNAcentral is "contains 16S-23S intergenic spacer region". Lineage: Bacteria; Pseudomonadati; Pseudomonadota; Gammaproteobacteria. The record is from RNAcentral.